UUUUUAAUAUAAUAUUUGAUCCUUUCGUACUAAAAUAUUUAUUAAAUUUAAGAUAGAAACCAACCUGGCUCACACCGGUUUAAACUCAGAUCAUGUAAAAUUUUAAAGGUCGAACAGACCCAAUAUUUUAGCUUCUUCACCAAAAAUAAAUUUUAAUCCAACAUCGAGGUCGCAAACCUUUUUUUCAAUAAGAACUAUUAAAAAGAUUACGCUGUUAUCCCUAAGGUAAUUUAAUCUUAUAAUCAUUUUUAUGGAUCAAUAAUUCAAUUAUAUUUGUUUAAAUAAAAAAAAAGUUAAAUUAAUUUUUUUGUCACCCCAACAAAACUUAAAUUAAAUUAAAAAACCAUAAUCCUAAAAUCAAUAAUUUAAUAUUUAGUUAAACUCUAUAGGGUCUUCUCGUCUUUAAAUAUUAUUUAAGCUUUUUAACUUAAAAAUAAAAUUCUAUUAAUAAAACUGAAACAGUAAUUUUCUCAUCAAACCAUUCAUACAAGCUUUCAAUUAAAAAACUAAUGAUUAUGCUACCUUUGCACAGUCAAAAUACUGCGGCCCUUCAAAAUUCAGUGGGCAGGCCAAACUUUAAAUUAAAAUC
Molecule: ribosomal RNA, 589 nt
Filed under: Henosepilachna bifasciata
Lineage: Eukaryota; Metazoa; Arthropoda; Insecta; Coleoptera; Coccinellidae
Description: partial 16S ribosomal RNA
Source: RNAcentral